CCCGCUCCCGGUAAAACGGGACGGCCCGCCAGAGGACCCCUAAACUCUGUUUCUAUAUGUAACUUCUGAGUAAAACCAUAAAUAAAUCAAAACUUUCAACAACGGAUCUCUUGGUUCUGGCAUCGAUGAAGAACGCAGCAAAAUGCGAUAAGUAAUGUGAAUUGCAGAAUUCAGUGAAUCAUCGAAUCUUUGAACGCACAUUGCGCCCGCCAGUAUUCUGGCGGGCAUGCCUGUUCGAGCGUCAUUUCAACCCUCAAGCACAGCUUGGUGUUGGGACUCGCGUUAAUUCGCGUUCCUCAAAUUGAUUGGCGGUCACGUCGAGCUUCCAUAGCGUAGUAGUAAAACCCUCGUUACUGGUAAUCGUCGCGGCCACGCCGUUAAACCCCAACUUCUGAAUGUUGACCUCGGAUCAGGUAGGAAUACCCGCUGAACUUAAGCAUAUCAAUAAGCGGAGG
Molecule: ribosomal RNA, 455 nt
Filed under: uncultured fungus
Lineage: Eukaryota; Fungi
Description: eukaryotic LSU rRNA
Rfam family: 5.8S ribosomal RNA (bases 91-244)
Source: RNAcentral